AUGCAUCUAGUUGAAGAAUAUCAUAUAAAAGGCACGAUUACGUGGAAGCAUAUCACAAUGCAAAUUUUGCAAGUGGAAAUUACACCCAUCCAUAUGUUUUAAGAUCCAACUUCAAAAAUCAGAACCAAUGUUUAUUUAUUCAAAAAUCAGAUUAUAAUUAAAAGUUUUAAUAUUAAUAAUAAUAUUAUAAUUCAACUUAAUUUACAUACCACACCCUCCACCAUUAACCCAUCCGGCUCAAUUUUCAAUCUAAAAACCCUAAUCACUUUCUUCUUCCUCCUUUCUCUCUACCUCUUCCUUCUCUCUCUUAGUAUCACUUCGACGACUUAUUUCCAUUGGUGGUGCGCAACUCUUCAAUCGCCGGAGCUCGAAUUCGUCAUCGUUGUGCGCAGCAACGAGCUCAAAGCAUCGCUCAUAGUGACGUACACUCUGGUUGCCGAUGCUUCAGAUCUCUGGGUGGCGCUGCAGAUCCAUUCUUGGUAAUUGACGGUUCGGUGCUGGGAAUGGAGAUCUCUGGCGUGUGCGACGGUGAUGAGCUUCUAUGGUGUUGUGGAGGUGGAGGUGGAGGUGUGCAGUGAGAUGGUGGGAACGGAGAGCUCUAGUGGUGCGAUGGUGGUGUAGUACUAUGGGUACAUUGUGGUGGUACAGUGGUUGGGUGCGUGUGGUACUGUGUGCAGUGGUGGCUCUGGAGAUGUGCAGUGGUGUUGACUGAUUCCGAUAUCGUGGUGUUUUGUGCGGUACCUUGGUGACGCGGUGAUUGCAAGUAUUGGUGGUGACCAUAAAUAGCCAAUGAAAAAGAUAAAUUGCGACUAAUAAAUAAUGUGAUUUAAAAAUUGUUAAUUUGUGAUCGAAAAUUUGAUAAUUUGUGACUAUAUAAUAAGUUGUGACUUAUAAUAUUGGUGAUCGAUAAGUAAAUUGUGAGUUAUAAAUUUUUUAUUUGUGAUCGAUAA
This 950-nucleotide long non-coding RNA is filed under the name Olea europaea subsp. europaea. Lineage: Eukaryota; Viridiplantae; Streptophyta; Magnoliopsida; Lamiales; Oleaceae. The record is from RNAcentral.